AGUGAACGCUGGCGGCAGGCCUAACACAUGCAAGUCGAGCGGCAGCGCGUCCGACCACCCUCGGGUGGUCGGAUGGCGGCGAGCGGCGGACGGGUGAGGAAUGCAUCGGAAUCUGCCUCGUUGUGGGGGAUAACGUAGGGAAACUUACGCUAAUACCGCAUACGACCUACGGGUGAAAGUGGGGGACCUUCGGGCCUCACGCGAUGAGAUGAGCCGAUGCCGGAUUAGCUAGUUGGCGGGGUAAAGGCCCACCAAGGCGACGAUCCGUAGCUGGUCUGAGAGGAUGAUCAGCCACACUGGGACUGAGACACGGCCCAGACUCCUACGGGAGGCAGCAGUGGGGAAUAUUGGACAAUGGGGGAAACCCUGAUCCAGCAAUGCCGCGUGAGUGAUGAAGGCC
This 400-nucleotide ribosomal RNA is filed under the name uncultured bacterium. Its description in RNAcentral is "bacterial SSU rRNA". It matches the Rfam family "Bacterial small subunit ribosomal RNA", at positions 30 to 416 of the family's 1533-position model. The record is from RNAcentral.